RNAcentral lists this long non-coding RNA (424 nucleotides) under Erythranthe guttata (spotted monkey flower). RNAcentral's name for it is "long non-coding RNA (EGUT_LNC003637)". The record is from RNAcentral. Lineage: Eukaryota; Viridiplantae; Streptophyta; Magnoliopsida; Lamiales; Phrymaceae.
GUAUGCAUGGUUUAAUAUAUAUGAAUUUUCAAAGUUGAAGUACCAAAGCUGCCAGAUUUUCUAAAAUAAUAUUAGAUUAUCGGGUGUUGCUCACGUUUAUACGAGAUUUAUUUGUCGUGGAUCAGGUAUACUGAAUAUUAUGUACUUUGAUUGCAUAUUUGGUUAUGAGAUACCAGAGAACAAAUGAAGACUCAAUUUCGGGUGAUAUGAUAUUUAUUAAAGAACAUUUAAUUAUGCUAAGCUAAUCUGUACAUUUUAUGGAUAAGUUUAAUGUUUAGCAUCUAUUUAUGCCCUUAUUUAUUUGAAAUUUGUCUUAUGCACAUUGAACCACAAGUUUACAGUAUUUUGAUCAAAAUUAGACAUAACAUCAUAUGAGGGUAUGUCAAGUAAAUUUAUUGGUUGGACGAUAUUGAGUUAGUAUUUG